UACAGAGGUCUCAAGCGUUGUUCGGAUUCAUUGGGCGUAAAGGGUGUGUAGGUGGCGCCGUAAGUCGGGUGUGAAAUUUCGGAGCUUAACUCCGAAACUGCAUUCGAUACUGCGGUGCUUGAGGACUGGAGAGGAGACUGGAAUUCAUGGUGUAGCAGUGAAAUGCGUAGAGAUCAUGAGGAAGACCAGUGGCGAAGGCGGGUCUCUGGACAGUUACCGACGCUGAGGCACGAAGGCCAGGGGAGCAAACGGG
This 253-nucleotide ribosomal RNA is filed under the name uncultured bacterium. RNAcentral's name for it is "partial 16S ribosomal RNA". It matches the Rfam family "Bacterial small subunit ribosomal RNA", at positions 524 to 776 of the family's 1533-position model. The record is from RNAcentral.